UAGUCCACGCCGUAAACGAUGAGUGCUAGAUGGCGGGAAAUUAGUUUCUCGGCUUCGUAGCUAACGCAUUAAGCACUCCGCCUGGGGACUACGAUCGCAAGAUUAAAACUCAAAGGAAUUGACGGGGGCUCGCACAAGUGGUGGAGCAUGCGGUUUAAUUCGAUGCUACGCGAAAAACCUUACCAACCCUUGACAUGGUGGUCGCGGAGACCAGAGAUGGACUCCUUCGGUUCGGCCGGACCACACACAGGUGUUGCAUGGCUGUCGUCAGCUCGUGUCGUGAGAUGUUGGGUUAAGUCCCGCAACGAGCGAAACCCUCAUCCUUAUUUGCCAGCGAUUCGGUCGGGAACUAUAAGGAAACUGCCGGUGAUAAGCCGGAGGAAGGUGGGACGAUGUCAAGUCAUCAUGGCCCUUACGGGUUGGGCUACACGCGUGCUACAAUGGUGCUUACAGAGGGAUGCAAUACGGCGACGUGGAGCAAAUCCUUAAAAAAGCAUCUCAGUUCGGAUUGCU
Molecule: ribosomal RNA, 513 nt
Filed under: uncultured bacterium
Lineage: Bacteria
Description: bacterial SSU rRNA
Rfam family: Bacterial small subunit ribosomal RNA
Source: RNAcentral